CAAAUUCCGUAGCGCUGUACAAUGGGUGGACUAACAGACACAUAAUUGAGAUCAGACCACUGACGUACAGGAACAGAGGGGGUUGAGGACCCUGCUCGAUGAGCUUACAUGCUAGAGGGAGUGGGGUAUAGUGACACAAAGGGUUAAAGUAGGGGAAUUAAAUAGUUUGUUACAGAAGGGUUUAUUGAGUGCUUGGUGGGUCAUUUUUGACAGUUGCAGGAAAGGAGUCAUGGGGUGAGGGAUGAGAAACCUGCUGACAGUUUAAUUGAUACGCUUUAAUAAAGUGAGUUUUCAAAGAUUUUUUUGAAGGAGUGGAGGCUGGGUGAAAGUCUGAUUGAGGAGGGAAGGGAGUUCCACAGAAUAGGUGCAGUCCUGGAGAAGUCUUGAAGGCGAGCAUCAGAGGUGGGGAUCCGGGCAGAGGAUAGGCGUAGGUCUUUCCCUCUUGAGCUUCACCUCCACUUGAUCCAAACAUUUUUUCCCCAAAAUGAUGGCAAGGUUCACAUUUGUCAGAACCAAAUUUUUGACGAAUUAAUUUGUACUAACCAAAUUGUUUUACCAUGCACAAGUCUGGUGAUUAGUGACGUGAAUGAAAGGGGACAGCUAUUGAUAGGAUAAAAUAAUAUAAUCAAUCCACCAUUUUAAGUAAACAUUCUGUUUUGAUGUUUACUUCUCAUAAUUGCUUAGAAAUAUUAUCCAUAUUUAUUGAAACCUCACAGUGGGGUUGUUAUCUGAGUCAAUUCUCCAGGCCUGUGGGUGGUUUGUGCUGAUUGACCCGUACAUAGCUGCAGCUGAAAUAUUCCCCACAGACAGACAUUUAGCCAUAACAGCUAUAGAAAUAAAAAAUGGCAUAAUUAAGUAAAUAACGAGCCUAAAUGUACAACGUUGAACAGUUACAAAAAUGCAAUAAUAGUAUUAAGCACUAGCUUUGAAACUCUGUGAUAAAUGCUUUCAUUCUUUACUCUGGAAUAAAAAAUAAUCCAAACAUUCUUCUGGUGAUCAUCUACAAUCAUCACCAACCAUCAUCAGUGAUGUAGAAUUAUUAAAAUCUUUAUUAGAAC
Pelobates cultripes (western spadefoot toad) is the source of this 1058-nucleotide non-coding RNA. Lineage: Eukaryota; Metazoa; Chordata; Amphibia; Anura; Pelobatidae. The record is from the annotation of a GenBank genome assembly.